GAUGAACGCUGGCGGCGUGCCUAAUACAUGCAAGUCGAGCGAACAGACGAGGAGCUUGCUCCUCUGACGUUAGCGGCGGACGGGUGAGUAACACGUGGAUAACCUACCUAUAAGACUGGGAUAACUUCGGGAAACCGGAGCUAAUACCGGAUAAUAUAUUGAACCGCAUGGUUCAAUAGUGAAAGACGGUUUUGCUGUCACUUAUAGAUGGAUCCGCGCCGCAUUAGCUAGUUGGUAAGGUAACGGCUUACCAAGGCAACGAUGCGUAACCGACCUGAGAGGGUGAUCCGCUACCUGGGAACUGAGAAUGGGUCCAGACUCCUACGGGGGGCAGCGGUAGGGACUCUUCCGCAAUGGACGAAUGCCUGACGGAGCAAAGCGGCGGGAGUGAUGACGGUGUUCGGAUCGUAAAACUCUGUUAUUAGGAAGAAACAAAUGUGUAAGUAACUAUGCACGUCUUGACGGUACCUAAUCAGAAAGCCACGGCUAACUACGUG
Molecule: ribosomal RNA, 497 nt
Filed under: uncultured bacterium
Lineage: Bacteria
Description: partial 16S ribosomal RNA
Rfam family: Bacterial small subunit ribosomal RNA
Source: RNAcentral